Molecule: ribosomal RNA, 500 nt
Filed under: uncultured Lachnospiraceae bacterium
Lineage: Bacteria; Bacillati; Bacillota; Clostridia; Lachnospirales; Lachnospiraceae
Description: bacterial SSU rRNA
Rfam family: Bacterial small subunit ribosomal RNA
Source: RNAcentral
AGAGUUUGAUCCUGGCUCAGGAUAAACGCUGGCGGCAUGCCUAACACAUGCAAGUCGAACGGGGUUUAUAUAGCGGAACUCUCCGGAGGGAAGCCGUAUAAACCUAGUGGCGGACGGGUGAGUAACGCGUGGGGAACCUGCCCUGUACCGGGGGACAACAGCCAGAAAUGGCUGCUAAUACCGCAUAACCCUGCACUGCCGCAUGGCGGUGCAGGGAAAACUCCGGUGGUACAGGAUGGCCCCGCGUCUGAUUAGCUUGUUGGCGGGGUAACGGCCCACCAAGGCAACGAUCAGUAGCCGGCUUGAGAGAGCGGACGGCCACAUUGGGACUGAGACACGGCCCAGACUCCUGCGGGAGGCAGCAGUGGGGAAUAUUGCACAAUGGGGGGAACCCUGAUGCAGCAAUGCCGCGUGGGUGAAGAAGUACCCCGGUAUGUAAAGCCCUUUCAGCAGGGAAGAAAAUGACGGUACCUGACUAAGAAGCCCCGGCUAACUACGUG